GGGUUGUGAGGUUAAGCGACUAAGCGUACACGGUGGAUGCCCUGGCAGUCAGAGGCGAUGAAGGGCGUGCUAAUCUGCGAUAAGCGCCGGUAAGGUGAUAUGAACCGUUAUAACCGGCGAUACCCGAAUGGGGAAACCCAGUGUGACUCGUCACACUAUCAUUAACUGAAUCCAUAGGUUAAUGAGGCGAACCGGGGGAACUGAAACAUCUAAGUACCCCGAGGAAAAGAAAUCAACCGAGAUUCCCCCAGUAGCGGCGAGCGAACGGGGAGGAGCCCAGAGCCUGAAUCAGCAUGUGUGUUAGUGGAAGCGUCUGGAAAGGCGCGCGAUACAGGGUGACAGCCCCGUACACAAAAGCGCAUGUGCUGUGAGCUCGAUGAGUAGGGCGGGACACGUGGUAUCCUGUCUGAAUAUGGGGGGACCAUCCUCCAAGGCUAAAUACUCCUGACUGACCGAUAGUGAACCAGUACCGUGAGGGAAAGGCGAAAAGAACCCCGGCGAGGGGAGUGAAAAAGAACCUGAAACCGUGUACGUACAAGCAGUGGGAGCACAGGUUUACCUGUGUGACUGCGUACCUUUUGUAUAAUGGGUCAGCGACUUAUAUUCUGUAGCAAGGUUAACCGAAUAGGGGAGCCGUAGGGAAACCGAGUCUUAACCGGGCGUUAAGUUGCAGGGUAUAGACCCGAAACCCGGUGAUCUAGCCAUGGGCAGGUUGAAGGUUGGGUAACACUAACUGGAGGACCGAACCGACUAAUGUUGAAAAAUUAGCGGAUGACCUGUGGCUGGGGGUGAAAGGCCAAUCAAACCGGGAGAUAGCUGGUUCUCCCCGAAAGCUAUUUAGGUAGCGCCUCGUGAAUUCAUCUCCGGGGGUAGAGCACUGUUUCGGCUAGGGGGCCAUCCCGGCUUACCAACCCGAUGCAAACUGCGAAUACCGGAGAAUGUUAUCACGGGAGACACACGGCGGGUGCUAACGUCCGUCGUGAAGAGGGAAACAACCCAGACCGCCAGCUAAGGUCCCAAAGUCAUGGUUAAGUGGGAAACGAUGUGGGAAGGCCCAGACAGCCAGGAUGUUGGCUUAGAAGCAGCCAUCAUUUAAAGAAAGCGUAAUAGCUCACUGGUCGAGUCGGCCUGCGCGGAAGAUGUAACGGGGCUAAACCAUGCACCGAAGCUGCGGCAGCGACACUGUGUGUUGUUGGGUAGGGGAGCGUUCUGUAAGCCUGUGAAGGUGGCCUGUGAGGGUUGCUGGAGGUAUCAGAAGUGCGAAUGCUGACAUAAGUAACGAUAAAGCGGGUGAAAAGCCCGCUCGCCGGAAGACCAAGGGUUCCUGUCCAACGUUAAUCGGGGCAGGGUGAGUCGACCCCUAAGGCGAGGCCGAAAGGCGUAGUCGAUGGGAAACGGGUUAAUAUUCCCGUACUUGGUGUUACUGCGAAGGGGGGACGGAGAAGGCUAUGUUGGCCGGGCGACGGUUGUCCCGGUUUAAGCGUGUAGGUGUGUGUUCCAGGUAAAUCCGGUUCACUUUAACACUGAGGCGUGACGACGAGGCACUACGGUGCUGAAGCAACAAAUGCCCUGCUUCCAGGAAAAGCCUCUAAGCAUCAGGUAACAUCAAAUCGUACCCCAAACCGACACAGGUGGUCAGGUAGAGAAUACCAAGGCGCUUGAGAGAACUCGGGUGAAGGAACUAGGCAAAAUGGUGCCGUAACUUCGGGAGAAGGCACGCUGACACGUAGGUGAAGUGAUUUACUCAUGGAGCUGAAGUCAGUCGAAGAUACCAGCUGGCUGCAACUGUUUAUUAAAAACACAGCACUGUGCAAACACGAAAGUGGACGUAUACGGUGUGACGCCUGCCCGGUGCCGGAAGGUUAAUUGAUGGGGUCAGCGCAAGCGAAGCUCCUGAUCGAAGCCCCGGUAAACGGCGGCCGUAACUAUAACGGUCCUAAGGUAGCGAAAUUCCUUGUCGGGUAAGUUCCGACCUGCACGAAUGGCGUAAUGAUGGCCAGGCUGUCUCCACCCGAGACUCAGUGAAAUUGAACUCGCUGUGAAGAUGCAGUGUACCCGCGGCAAGACGGAAAGACCCCGUGAACCUUUACUAUAGCUUGACACUGAACAUUGAGCCUUGAUGUGUAGGAUAGGUGGGAGGCUUUGAAGUGUGGACGCCAGUCUGCAUGGAGCCGGCCUUGAAAUACCACCCUUUAAUGUUUGAUGUUCUAACGUGGACCCGUAAUCCGGGUUGCGGACAGUGUCUGGUGGGUAGUUUGACUGGGGCGGUCUCCUCCUAAAGAGUAACGGAGGAGCACGAAGGUUGGCUAAUCCUGGUCGGACAUCAGGAGGUUAGUGCAAUGGCAUAAGCCAGCUUGACUGCGAGCGUGACGGCGCGAGCAGGUGCGAAAGCAGGUCAUAGUGAUCCGGUGGUUCUGAAUGGAAGGGCCAUCGCUCAACGGAUAAAAGGUACUCCGGGGAUAACAGGCUGAUACCGCCCAAGAGUUCAUAUCGACGGCGGUGUUUGGCACCUCGAUGUCGGCUCAUCACAUCCUGGGGCUGAAGUAGGUCCCAAGGGUAUGGCUGUUCGCCAUUUAAAGUGGUACGCGAGCUGGGUUUAGAACGUCGUGAGACAGUUCGGUCCCUAUCUGCCGUGGGCGCUGGAGAACUGAGGGGGGCUGCUCCUAGUACGAGAGGACCGGAGUGGACGCAUCACUGGUGUUCGGGUUGUCAUGCCAAUGGCACUGCCCGGUAGCUAAAUGCGGAAGAGAUAAGUGCUGAAAGCAUCUAAGCACGAAACUUGCCCCGAGAUGAGUUCUCCCUGAGACUUAGAGUCUCCUGAAGGAACGUUGAAGACGACGACGUUGAUAGGCCGGGUGUGUAAGCGCAGCGAUGCGUUGAGCUAACCGGUACUAAUGAACCGUGAGGCUUAACCUUACAACGCCGAAGCUGUU
This 2933-nucleotide ribosomal RNA is filed under the name Salmonella enterica subsp. enterica serovar Newport str. USDA-ARS-USMARC-1925. Its description in RNAcentral is "23S ribosomal RNA". It matches the Rfam family "Bacterial large subunit ribosomal RNA". The record is from RNAcentral. Lineage: Bacteria; Pseudomonadati; Pseudomonadota; Gammaproteobacteria; Enterobacterales; Enterobacteriaceae.